CCCCUACAAACCACUUCCAACCACUUUCCCAUGUCUGGUCCCUCCAAAUUGGGCUCAGCUGUCUGUGCAGCUGAACCUAAUAGCCUAAACAAAACCUAGGUCUGCCUUCAUCUUGUUCACCUCUUACUAAGCUGCUAGACUUGAGAGCAUGCUCACCUCAGACUCCAGGGGGACAAAGGGAGAAGAAGGCAUGUGUAGGCUUAAUCCUGAUCCCAGAGUAGGGUACCUGAAAAAGGACAGCUUGGUGGUGAAAAGGCACUGUGAAGGACCUGGAUAUGGUUGACCUCCCUGUGCUUCUUGAAGCGGUU
Anas platyrhynchos (mallard) is the source of this 308-nucleotide long non-coding RNA. RefSeq lists it as uncharacterized. NCBI's taxonomy places the organism in Eukaryota, Metazoa, Chordata, Aves, Anseriformes, Anatidae. The record is from RefSeq and is a predicted model, not a curated record.